Molecule: long non-coding RNA, 1737 nt
Organism: Mauremys reevesii (Reeves's turtle)
Lineage: Eukaryota; Metazoa; Chordata; Testudines; Geoemydidae
Exons: 2
Source: RefSeq, a predicted model, not a curated record
AAUAGAUGAAGGUUUUAGAAUUUUUGAUGCUUUACAUUUUAAGCCGUUUGAUUUUUAAUGUUUCAGAAAAGGGGGGGAAGAAAGGGAAAAAAGGCAGAAGUGGAACCGCAGCAUGCGGUAAACACACUGAAUCUUAAGACGACAAUUGUAGGGGUCCAUUUCUCCAUUGCUACCCACAUCUCACGCACAGUAAUGCUGACAGGUAUCACCUGUGCUCAGUAAUGGGAGAACAGACACCGAUUAGUGGGCCAGAUCCUGCCUUUGGAUAUUCCCAUAGAAAACGCCCCAUUCAGUACCCUAGGGCAGAAUUUGGCACAAAGGGUGAAAUUCAUCCCUGGUGUAACUGCAGCGAGGUCUUCAGGGCUUGAUUCUGUUUUCAUUUACCCCAGCGUGAAUCAGUGGAGUUACUAAACCAGCGUAAAACUGGUGAGCGAGGAGAAUCAAGCCUGUUUCCAUGAGGCCUCAGCAGUGCAGGAGGACCUCAUGCCCAUACAUGUUCUGCCAUGGCUGAAUACUGAUGUGGGAUGCACUGUUGCAUGAAGCUCUCACAGACACCCUGGUGAGUUCUUUGGCUGCUUCUCCAGACCUUGUGAUCUUACAUUAUCUACAGGAGAUAGAUUUUCAACUGAAAGGGCCAAGUUCCACCCUUGACUGAACCAGGUGUAUUACUCCCAUUGAAGUCAUCCUCGAGGAUGGUCAACAGCAUCAUCUGCAGGAGAUCACCCGGAAAAUGAGGCCGUGACAGGUACAUUUCCACCUAGAUGGUGCACUGCAACCAGCUGUGAGUCCGCUGGAAAUGCCUGGUGACUCAUUCGAACAUGCAUCCAUCUGCAGUUAACGGGAGCCUCCUUGAGCAUCCAAGGGCACAAAGUUGGCUUUACACGUUUGCAUUCAACUUACUGGCAAAGCCACAUUACCGGUCAUCACUGACAGCAACAUUAAAGCCAAGUGAAAACUGACUUGCAGUCUUUGCCACGGUGUGCCACAUCUGCAGAGGUCACCACCAGCAAGAUGGCGAAUGUGCAGCAGGUUCACAUAAGCCAGCUUUGGGCCUAAUUUUCCGUCAUUGUAUCCAAUUUUACCUGCACAAUCGGCUGCCCCUCCAGAAGUACUCAUGGAUUUGUUUGGGACAUUCAUAAAGGGAAGUGGAGCACUUGGUGGGUGAAAAUGUAGAACCUGCAUGCACAAAACAGGGGCUCACCCAGUUUUCUGGAUGCAAUCAGUUGCUUGCGCAAAAUCAGAAGCUGGCUGAAAAUUUGGCCCUGUAGUUUAUUUACAGUUUAUGAAUUUGGAGACAAGUGCUCGUCCCCGUGUCAAUUUCUAGGCGCUGCUUUUUGCCCUUUCAGAGAGCGGCCCCACAUUUUCAGCUAUGACAUGAUAUGCAUGUCCCCAGCCCUCUGUUACUCUUACCUAAUGGCGGUAUUUGGAAUUCCUGUGAGCACCAAGCUGAAUAUGUACCCACUGAUGUCUCAAUUAAGGAUGGUAUACUGCCUACAGCGGGAUUUGCAUAGACACAGCCUCUACGAGGGAUAGUUUCCUUAUAAAACUUCUUUGACAGAUAAGGUCUCUUGCCUUAAUGAGGAGAAUAUUCUACAAAGAUCCAUUACUAAUGGGCUUCGGCAUGGGUAGGAACUGGAAGUAAACUCCUACCACAAAUGAUGAACCAAAACCAACUUUAUUAUUUGUCUGGUUCCCACCAAUCUCUUGAAUUCAAUUAAAGAUCUCGCCUCCUCUCCA